This 91-nucleotide transfer RNA is filed under the name Phycisphaerae bacterium. RNAcentral's name for it is "tRNA-Ser". It matches the Rfam family "tRNA". Rfam says of the family: Transfer RNA (tRNA) molecules are approximately 80 nucleotides in length. Their secondary structure includes four short double-helical elements and three loops (D, anti-codon, and T loops). Further hydrogen bonds mediate the characteristic L-shaped molecular structure. tRNAs have two regions of fundamental functional importance: the anti-codon, which is responsible for specific mRNA codon recognition, and the 3' end, to which the tRNAs corresponding amino acid is attached (by aminoacyl-tRNA synthetases). tRNAs cope with the degeneracy of the genetic code in two manners: having more than one tRNA (with a specific anti-codon) for a particular amino acid; and 'wobble' base-pairing, i.e. permitting non-standard base-pairing at the 3rd anti-codon position. Lineage: Bacteria; Pseudomonadati; Planctomycetota; Phycisphaerae. The record is from RNAcentral.
GGAGAGGUGGCCGAGCGGCUGAAGGCAACGGUUUGCUAAACCGUCGUAGGGGCGAAUACCUCUACCGCGGGUUCGAAUCCCGCCCUCUCCG